AAGAAAGUGACAGAGUGGUGAUGUGGUUGGCUUGAAACUAAUUUAUGGGGGUUCAAUUCCUUCCUUUCUUG
Molecule: transfer RNA, 71 nt
Filed under: Cetorhinus maximus
Lineage: Eukaryota; Metazoa; Chordata; Chondrichthyes; Lamniformes; Cetorhinidae
Description: tRNA-Ser
Rfam family: tRNA
About the family: Transfer RNA (tRNA) molecules are approximately 80 nucleotides in length. Their secondary structure includes four short double-helical elements and three loops (D, anti-codon, and T loops).
Source: RNAcentral